AGAGUUUGAUCAUGGCUCAGAUUGAACGCUGGCGGUAUGCUUAACACAUGCAAGUCGAACGGUAGCAGGCCUUCGGGCGCUGACGAGUGGCGGACGGGUGAGUAACGCGUAGGAAUCUGCCUCAUAGUGGGGGACAACGUGGGGAAACUCACGCUAAUACCGCAUACGCCCUACGGGGGAAAGCGGGGGAUCGUAAGACCUCGCGCUAUGAGAUGAGCCUGCGUUAGAUUAGCUAGUUGGUAGGGUAAAGGCCUACCAAGGCGACGAUCUAUAGCUGGUCUGAGAGGACGAUCAGCCACACUGGGACUGAGACACGGCCCAGACUCCUACGGGAGGCAGCAGUGGGGAAUAUUGGACAAUGGGCGCAAGCCUGAUCCAGCAAUACCGCGUGUGUGAAGAAGGCCCUAGGGUUGUAAAGCACUUUCAAUAGGGAGGAAAACCUGCCGGUCAAUACCCGGUAGCUUGACAUUACCUAUACAAGAAGCACCGGCUAACUCC
Molecule: ribosomal RNA, 498 nt
Filed under: uncultured bacterium
Lineage: Bacteria
Description: bacterial SSU rRNA
Rfam family: Bacterial small subunit ribosomal RNA
Source: RNAcentral